AUACGUAGGUGGCAAGCGUUGUCCGGAAUUAUUGGGCGUAAAGCGCAUGUAGGCGGUUUGGUAAGUCGGUCGUGAAAAUGCGGUGCUUAACGCCGUAUGGCGAUUGAAACUGCUGAACUUGAGUGCAGGAGAGGAAAGGGGAACUCCCAGUGUAGCGGUGAAAUGCGUAGAUAUUGGGAAGAACACCGGUGGCGAAGGCGCCUUUCUGGACUGUGUCUGACGCGCAGAUGCGAAAGCCAGGGUAGCGAACGGGAUUAGAUACCCCGGUAGUCCUGGCCGUAAACGAUGGGUACUAGGUGUGGGAGGUAUCGACUCCUUCCGUGCCGGAGUUAACGCAAUAAGUCCCCCGCCUGGGGAGUACGGCCGCAAGGCUUAAACUCAAAGGAAUUGACGGGG
Molecule: ribosomal RNA, 396 nt
Filed under: uncultured bacterium
Lineage: Bacteria
Description: partial 16S ribosomal RNA
Rfam family: Bacterial small subunit ribosomal RNA
Source: RNAcentral